AGAGUUUGAUCCUGGCUCAGGAUGAACGCUAGCGGCAGGCUUAACACAUGCAAGUCGAGGGGCAGCGGGGAGGAAGCUUGCUUUCUCCGCCGGCGACCGGCGCACGGGUGAGUAACACGUAUGCAACCUGCCCCUGUCAGGGGGACAACCCGCCGAAAGGCGGGCUAAACCCGCGUACAUGCCACCGGGGCAUCCCGGAGGCAGGAAAGGCUUCGGCCGGACAGGGAUGGGCAUGCGGCGCAUUAGGCAGUAGGCGGGGUAACGGCCCACCUAACCGACGAUGCGUAGGGGUUCUGAGAGGAAGGUCCCCCACACUGGUACUGAGACACGGACCAGACUCCUACGGGAGGCAGCAGUGAGGAAUAUUGGUCAAUGGUCGGGAGACUGAACCAGCCAAGCCGCGUGAGGGAGGAAGGUACAGAGUAUCGUAAACCUCUUUUGUCAGGGAACAAAGGCGGGGACGUGUCCCCGGAUGAGUGUACCUGAAGAAAAAGCAUCGGCUAACUCCGUGCCAGCAGCCGCGGUAAUACGGAGGAUGCGAGCGUUAUCCGGAUUUAUUGGGUUUAAAGGGUGCGCAGGCGGUCUGUUAAGUCAGCGGUCAAAGCCCGGGGCUCAACCCCGGCCCGCCGUUGAAACUGGCAGUCUCGAGUUGGAGAGAAGUAUGCGGAAUGCGCGGUGUAGCGGUGAAAUGCAUAGAUAUCGCGCAGAACUCCGAUUGCGAAGGCAGCAUGCCGGCUCCACACUGACGCUGAGGCACGAAAGCGUGGGUAUCGAACAGGAUUAGAUACCCUGGUAGUCCACGCAGUAAACGAUGAAUGCUGGCUGUCCGGGGGGAUUGACCCCUGGGUGGCGAAGCGAAAGCGAUAAGCAUUCCACCUGGGGAGUACGCCGGCAACGGUGAAACUCAAAGGAAUUGACGGGGGCCCGCACAAGCGGAGGAACAUGUGGUUUAAUUCGAUGAUACGCGAGGAACCUUACCCGGGCUCAAACGGGGAGUGACUCAGGCAGAGACGCCUGUUUCCCACGGGACACUCCCCGAGGUGCUGCAUGGUUGUCGUCAGCUCGUGCCGUGAGGUGUCGGCUUAAGUGCCAUAACGAGCGCAACCCCCGCGUGCAGUUGCUAACAGAUAACGCUGAGGACUCUGCACGGACUGCCGGCGCAAGCCGCGAGGAAGGCGGGGAUGACGUCAAAUCAGCACGGCCCUUACGUCCGGGGCGACACACGUGUUACAAUGGGUGGUACUGCGGGAAGCCAGGCGGCGACGCCGAGCGGAACCCGAAAUCCACUCUCAGUUCGGAUCGGAGUCUGCAACCCGACUCCGUGAAGCUGGAUUCGCUAGUAAUCGCGCAUCAGCCAUGGCGCGGUGAAUACGUUCCCGGGCCUUGCACUCACCGCCCGUCA
RNAcentral lists this ribosomal RNA (1402 nucleotides) under uncultured bacterium. Its description in RNAcentral is "16S ribosomal RNA". It matches the Rfam family "Bacterial small subunit ribosomal RNA". The record is from RNAcentral.